UCAGGCCUAACACAUGCAAGUCGUACGAGGUGUAAAUAAUUCACUUGUGAAUUGUUUAUUACUACAGUGGCGCACGGGUGAGUAACACGUAAGAACCUGCCUUUUGGAGGGGGAUAACAUAGGGAAACCUUUGCUAAUACCCCAUAAAGCUGAGGAGCUAAAUCGCAUUUGCGGCCAAGAGAGGGGCUUGCGCCUGAUUAGCUAGUUGGGGAGGUAAUGGCUUCCCAAGGCCACGAUCAGUAGUUGGCCUGAGAGGAUGAUCAGCCACACUGGGACUGAGACACGGCCCAGACUCCUACGGGAGGCAGCAGUGAGGAAUUUUCCGCAAGGGGCGAAAGCCUGACGGAGCAAUACCGCGUGAAGGAAAAGGGAUCGUGGUCUGUAAACUUCUUUUCUCAGAGAAGAAGAU
Molecule: ribosomal RNA, 409 nt
Filed under: uncultured bacterium
Lineage: Bacteria
Description: bacterial SSU rRNA
Rfam family: Bacterial small subunit ribosomal RNA
Source: RNAcentral